RNAcentral lists this ribosomal RNA (345 nucleotides) under Oscillospiraceae bacterium. RNAcentral's name for it is "bacterial SSU rRNA". It matches the Rfam family "Bacterial small subunit ribosomal RNA", at positions 1 to 343 of the family's 1533-position model. The record is from RNAcentral. Lineage: Bacteria; Bacillati; Bacillota; Clostridia; Eubacteriales; Oscillospiraceae.
UUAAUAAAGAGUUUGAUCCUGGCUCAGGACGAACGCUGGCGGCACGCUUAACACAUGCAAGUCGAACGGACGAGGGAGAGCUUGCUCUCCUUAGUUAGUGGCGGACGGGUGAGUAACACGUGAGCAACCUGCCUUUAAGAGUGGAAUAACGUCUGGAAACGGACGCUAAUACCGCAUAAUAUAUUUGUAUCGCAUGGUAUGAAUAUCAAAGAUUUAUCGCUUAGAGAUGGGCUCGCGUCUGAUUAGCUUGUUGGUGAGGUAACGGCCCACCAAGGCGACGAUCAGUAGCCGGACUGAGAGGUUGAACGGCCACAUUGGGACUGAGACACGGCCCAGACUCCUACG